CGGCGACCGGCAAACGGGUGCGGAACACGUACGCAACCUUCCUCAGAGCGGGAUAGCCUCUCGAAAGAGAGAUUAAUACCCCAUAGUAUCUCGGAUUCACAUGGAUCUGAGAUUAAAGCUCCGGCACUUUGAGAUGGGCGUGCGGCUGAUUAGGUAGUUGGUAGGUAACGGCCUACCAAGCCAACGAUCAGUAGCUGAUGUGAGAGCAUGAUCAGCCACACGGGCACUGAGACACGGGCCGACUCCUACGGGAGGCAGCAGUGAGGAAUAUUGGUCAAUGGAGGCAACUCUGAACCAGCCAUGCCCGCGUGAAGGAUGAAGGUCCUCUGGAUUGUAAACUUCUUUUAUAGAAGAAGAAACCCCAUUUUUCUAAGUGGGUUGACGGUACUCUAUGAAUAAGCAUCGGCUAACUCCGUG
RNAcentral lists this ribosomal RNA (417 nucleotides) under uncultured bacterium. RNAcentral's name for it is "bacterial SSU rRNA". It matches the Rfam family "Bacterial small subunit ribosomal RNA", at positions 89 to 507 of the family's 1533-position model. The record is from RNAcentral.